This 447-nucleotide ribosomal RNA is filed under the name uncultured bacterium. RNAcentral's name for it is "bacterial SSU rRNA". It matches the Rfam family "Bacterial small subunit ribosomal RNA", at positions 355 to 825 of the family's 1533-position model. The record is from RNAcentral.
UGGGGAAUAUUGGACAAUGGGCGAAAGCCUGAUCCAGCCAUGCCGCGUGGAUGAUGAAGGCCUUAGGGUUGUAAAGUCCUUUCGGCGGGGAAGAUAAUGACGGUACCCGCAGAAGAAGCCCCGGCUAACUUCGUGCCAGCAGCCGCGGUAAUACGAAGGGACCAAGCGUUGUUCGGAUUUACUGGGCGUAAAGGGCGCGUAGGCGGCAAUUCAAGUCAUCUGUGAAAUCUCCGGGCUUAACUCGGAACGGUCAGAUGAUACUGCUUUGCUAGAGUGCAGAAGGGGCAAUCGGAAUUCUUGGUGUAGCGGUGAAAUGCGUAGAUAUCAAGAGGAACACCUGAGGUGAAGACGGGUUGCUGGGCUGACACUGACGCUGAGGCGCGAAAGCCAGGGGAGCAAACGGGAUUAGAUACCCUUGUAGUCCCUGAGCGGGCUGGCAAGGCGCAU